Molecule: long non-coding RNA, 1908 nt
Filed under: Zostera marina
Lineage: Eukaryota; Viridiplantae; Streptophyta; Magnoliopsida; Alismatales; Zosteraceae
Description: long non-coding RNA (ZMAR_LNC000122)
Source: RNAcentral
GGAUAUCGUGGUUCGAUAGUCCCACAGACGGCGCCAGCUGAUGAAGCACGGAAUCUGCUACCAGUAGGCUCGCGGGGUUGCGAGGAGGGCCGGAGGCUUUGGAGUCCACGACGCGCGCUCUACGUCAAUAUACCUGCAGAAGAGGAGGGGAAUCGGCGACUCCCUUGGGAGUAGGCGAUUCGGGCUCCUUGGAUUGCUCUGGUUGGAGUGUGUGUCAAGAGGAUAUGAGUUGAGGGUAGAGGUCCCCCAAGGACCCCUUUUAUAGGGUCUUGGGGGACGUUUCCCCAUUCAUUCGAGUGGGGCCCAUGCCAUUAAGGUAUCCUAUUAAGGAAUGCCUUAAUGGCGAAGGUCCGCUCAAGUAACGGCUGGGAGUCGGCGAUUCAGGUAUGGGAAUCGCCGAUCCAGAGGUUCAAUCGCCGACUCCCCAUGAGCCUAGUGGCAGCCUACCAGAGCUGUCCACGAGGCCUAGAGUUGGCGAUUCCCCCCUGGAGUCAGCGACUUGGUAGUCCCAAUCCGCGACUCCCAAGUGUUAGCUUGAGCUCUUGACGUAGACACGUGCUCCGCACCGUGGAAGCCUUUCCGGGGGUCCGGCAUAUAGCGACGGAACCCUAUUCCUUGUUUGAAGGGCGUUGCUGGGAGUGACUGACGUAAUCAGGCAUGUCUCACCAGUUGUCUUUAAAUUUAUUAAUCGUUAUUGCGGCUUGCUAUUCGUUGUGAAGUUUAAUUUAUUUUUGCGAAUUUAGCCGUAGACUGAGCUACGAUUCGUACGACCAAGUCUACUCCCAGAGUGGCUAGCGAUAGGGUUAGUCUAAUUUACGUCCAGAGCGGCUAAAUUACGACUCGCGAAUCUAGUUUCGGGUCUUAGUUACAAUUCAAAAGAAUAAAGUAAAUAAACAACUCAAUAGAAAAGCAAAAAACGAUUAAUUUCAUUAAAAAAUUUCAGAUUACAAAAAAGAUAACAAAAAGGAUUACAACAUAAGGACUUAGAUCUAAUCUUGUGCAGCUUCGUCCUUCAUCUUGUCGAGAGCCUCUUUAUUCUUCUCGAGCUCCUCAGGAUAUUGCUCAACCCACGCCAUUAUGUCCGUGAUGUAAUCGGGGGGUAGAGCGGGAUACACGGAAGGAACAAAGAAUAUGAGCUCUUAAAGCUGGUCGGAUUGGUAACGUACAUCCAAAUCCAGCCCAGCAGCUCUCCCAGCAAGUGCGGCAUUGUCAUCUUUUAGAGUCAGAACCUCUUCUUCCGCACUCGCGAGCUCGCUUUUUAGCUCAGUGGUUUCUCGUUGGCUCUGAGCAGCUUGCUUCUUCAACUCCACUAUCGCAGCCUCAAGUGAGGCUACGUGCCCUCUUUCACUAGCUAGCUGGCUCUUCAGAUCUUCGAUUUCUUGAGCGCGGCCAGAACUAGCAACUUUCAGAUCUUUUCGGAGUGCUAAGAUCUCCGCGACAUAGUCAUCGAUCUCUUUCUGCUUGGACUCAAUAGUUUUGUCCUUCUUGGGCAGAAUGUUGUCGCGAAGGUUCUCCAUUCUCGAUCUCACGUUCUUCAGCUUGUCGAGAGCCUUCUCACUCUCCUUGAACUUCGUAUCUGAUGAAGCACGGAAUCUGCUACCAGUGGGCUCGCGGGGUUGCGAGGAGGGCCGGAGGCUUUGGAGUCCACGACGCGCGCUCUACGUCAAACACCUGCAGAAGAGGAGGGGAAUCGGCGACUCACGUGGGAGUAGGCGAUUCGGGCUCCUUGGUUUGCUCUAGUGGGAGAGUGAGUCAAGAGAGGAUAAGUUGAGGAUAGAGGUCCCCCAAGGACCCCUUUUAUAGGGUCUUGGGGGGCGUUUCCCCAUUCAAUCGAGUGGGGCCCACGCCAUUAAGGUACCCCAAUAAGGAAUGCCUUAAUGGCGAAGGUCCGCUCAAGUAACGGCUGNN